CCGCCGGCGACCGGCGCACGGGUGAGUAACACGUAUGCAACCUGGCCGUGACAGAUGGAUAACCCGGGAGAAAUCCCGCCUAAUACAACAUAAUGCCGGGAGGGGACAUCCCCUGCCGGUCAAAGGGGGCGACCCCGGUCACGGAUGGGCAUGCGGCGCAUUAGGUAGUUGGUGGGGCAACGGCCCACCAAGCCGACGAUGCGUAGGGGUUCUGAGAGGAAGGUCCCCCACAUUGGAACUGAGACACGGUCCAAACUCCUACGGGAGGCAGCAG
This 274-nucleotide ribosomal RNA is filed under the name uncultured bacterium. RNAcentral's name for it is "partial 16S ribosomal RNA". It matches the Rfam family "Bacterial small subunit ribosomal RNA", at positions 85 to 354 of the family's 1533-position model. The record is from RNAcentral.